GUCCAGCCGACGAGUCCCAAAUAUGACGAAACGCUCUUCGGGGAU
RNAcentral lists this non-coding RNA (45 nucleotides) under Schistosoma mansoni. The record is from RNAcentral. Lineage: Eukaryota; Metazoa; Platyhelminthes; Trematoda; Strigeidida; Schistosomatidae.